Molecule: small nuclear RNA, 103 nt
Organism: Sciurus vulgaris (Eurasian red squirrel)
Lineage: Eukaryota; Metazoa; Chordata; Mammalia; Rodentia; Sciuridae
Source: Ensembl
GUGCUCGCUUCAGCAGCACAAAUACUAAAAUUGGAAUGAUACAAAGAUGAGCAUGGUAACUGUGCAAGGAUAACACGCAAAUUUGUGAAUGUUCCAUAUUUUU